UGGCUGGCGCAGCUACCAUGCAGUCGAGCGGUAACAGGGGUAGCUUGCUACCCGCUGACGAGCGGCGGACGGGUGAGUAAUGCAUAGGAAUCUGCCCGAUAGUGGGGGAUAACCUGGGGAAACCCAGGCUAAUACCGCAUACGUCCUACGGGAGAAAGGGGGCUCCGGCUCCCGCUAUUGGAUGAGCCUAUGUCGGAUUAGCUAGUUGGUAAGGUAAUGGCUUACCAAGGCAACGAUCCGUAGCUGGUCUGAGAGGAUGAUCAGCCACAUCGGGACUGAGACACGGCCCGAACUCCUACGGGAGGCAGCAGUGGGGAAUAUUGGACAAUGGGGGCAACCCUGAUCCAGCCAUGCCGCGUGUGUGAAGAAGGCCCUCGGGUUGUAAAGCACUUUCAGCGAGGAAGAACGCCUAUCGGUUAAUACCCGGUAGGAAAGACAUCACUCGCAGAAGAAGCACCGGCUAACUCCGUGCCAGCAGCCGCGGUAAUACGGAGGGUGCAAGCGUUAAUCGGAAUUACUGGGCGUAAAGCGCGCGUAGGUGGCUUGAUAAGCCGGUUGUGAAAGCCCCGGGCUCAACCUGGGAACGGCAUCCGGAACUGUCAGGCUAGAGUGCAGGAGAGGAAGGUAGAAUUCCCGGUGUAGCGGUGAAAUGCGUAGAGAUCGGGAGGAAUACCAGUGGCGAAGGCGGCCUUCUGGACUGACACUGACACUGAGGUGCGAAAGCGUGGGUAGCAAACAGGAUUAGAUACCUU
This 752-nucleotide ribosomal RNA is filed under the name Halomonas sp. RNAcentral's name for it is "bacterial SSU rRNA". It matches the Rfam family "Bacterial small subunit ribosomal RNA", at positions 40 to 788 of the family's 1533-position model. Lineage: Bacteria; Pseudomonadati; Pseudomonadota; Gammaproteobacteria; Oceanospirillales; Halomonadaceae. The record is from RNAcentral.